Molecule: ribosomal RNA, 478 nt
Filed under: uncultured bacterium
Lineage: Bacteria
Description: partial 16S ribosomal RNA
Rfam family: Bacterial small subunit ribosomal RNA
Source: RNAcentral
AGCGAACGCUGGCGGCGUGCUUAACACAUGCAAGUCGAACGGUAAGGCCCUUCGGGGUACACGAGUGGCGAACGGGUGAGUAACACGUGGGUGAUCUGCCCUGCACUUCGGGAUAAGCCUGGGAAACUGGGUCUAAUACCGGAUAGGACCACUGCCUGCAUGGGUGGUGGUGGAAAGCUUUUGCGGUGUGGGAUGGGCCCGCGGCCUAUCAGCUUGUUGGUGGGGUGAUGGCCUACCAAGGCGACGACGGGUAGCCGGCCUGGGAGGGUGACCGGCCACACGGGGACUGAGAUACGGCCCAGACUCCUACGGGAGGCAGCAGUGGGGAAUAUUGCACAAUGGGCGCAAGCCUGAUGCAGCGACGCCGCGUGAGGGAUGACGGCCUUCGGGUUGUAAACCUCUUUCAGCACCGACGAAGCGCAAGUGACGGUAGGUGCAGAAGAAGGACCGGCCAACUACGUGCCAGCCGCCGCCGUAA